This 477-nucleotide ribosomal RNA is filed under the name Escherichia coli. RNAcentral describes it as "partial 23S ribosomal RNA". It matches the Rfam family "Bacterial large subunit ribosomal RNA", at positions 165 to 684 of the family's 2925-position model. The record is from RNAcentral. Lineage: Bacteria; Pseudomonadati; Pseudomonadota; Gammaproteobacteria; Enterobacterales; Enterobacteriaceae.
CAUAGGUUAAUGAGGCGAACCGGGGGAACUGAAACAUCUAAGUACCCCGAGGAAAAGAAAUCAACCGAGAUUCCCCCAGUAGCGGCGAGCGAACGGGGAGGAGCCCAGAGCCUGAAUCAGUGUGUGUGUUAGUGGAAGCGUCUGGAAAGGCGCGCGAUACAGGGUGACAGCCCCGUACACAAAAAUGCACAUACUGUGAGCUCGAUGAGUAGGGCGGGACACGUGGUAUCCUGUCUGAAUAUGGGGGGACCAUCCUCCAAGGCUAAAUACUCCUGACUGACCGAUAGUGAACCAGUACCGUGAGGGAAAGGCGAAAAGAACCCCGGCGAGGGGAGUGAAAAAGAACCUGAAACCGUGUACGUACAAGCAGUGGGAGCCUCUUAAUGGGGUGACUGCGUACCUUUUGUAUAAUGGGUCAGCGACUUAUAUUCUGUAGCAAGGUUAACCGAAUAGGGGAGCCGAAGGGAAACCGAGUCU